This 212-nucleotide long non-coding RNA is filed under the name Solanum tuberosum (potato). Its description in RNAcentral is "long non-coding RNA (STUB_LNC002588)". The record is from RNAcentral. Lineage: Eukaryota; Viridiplantae; Streptophyta; Magnoliopsida; Solanales; Solanaceae.
ACAAGCGGAUGAUGUGAUCUCAAGGGAACUCCUGUUGAUGAUCCUAAGUUCCUAAAUUUACAUUAUGAAAAGUUGCAGUUAGAAUAAAAUCAUAUAUUAAAUGUACGAGUAUGUAAUAGGUAUGAAUUAAACAAAUAACUUAACUUAAACACUGAAGGUAAUUCAACUAAAGAAUAAAAUAAAUCAUGAUAACAUAUACUCAUAUAAUGCUC